CAAACUCUGGAUUUCUUCACCAUUAACUACCUUCACAUUACAGUAUUUCACACAAACACAGACUCAUUCUCUCUAUUGAACUACAAUCAGAUUUCAGCAUUCAAUCUUUCUUCUUCCCAUUUAAUAACAAUCAUACUUCCAUUCCAUAAUUCACUUUCACAAUAUUCAGAAACUCUUAAUCUUCUUAUUCAAAGAAAAUAACAAA
RNAcentral lists this long non-coding RNA (205 nucleotides) under Physcomitrium patens. RNAcentral describes it as "long non-coding RNA (PPAT_LNC013112)". The record is from RNAcentral. Lineage: Eukaryota; Viridiplantae; Streptophyta; Bryopsida; Funariales; Funariaceae.